RNAcentral lists this ribosomal RNA (492 nucleotides) under uncultured bacterium. Its description in RNAcentral is "partial 16S ribosomal RNA". It matches the Rfam family "Bacterial small subunit ribosomal RNA", at positions 29 to 507 of the family's 1533-position model. The record is from RNAcentral.
AGUGAACGCUGGCGGUAGGCCUAACACAUGCAAGUCGAACGGCAGCACAGUAAGAGCUUGCUCUUACGGGUGGCGAGUGGCGGACGGGUGAGGAAUACAUCGGAAUCUACUUUUUCGUGGGGGAUAACGUAGGGAAACUUACGCUAAUACCGCAUACGACCUACGGGUGAAAGCAGGGGAUCUUCGGACCUUGCGCGAUUGAAUGAGCCGAUGUCGGUUUAGCUAGGUGGCGGGGUAAAGGCCCACCAAGGCGACGAUCCGUAGCUGGUCUGAGAGGAUGAUCAGCCACACUGGAACGGAGACACGGUCCAGACUCCUACGGGAGGCAGCAGUGGGGAAUAUUGGACAAUGGGCGCAAGCCUGAUCCAGCCAUACCGCGUGGGUGAAGAAGGCCUUCGGGUUGUAAAGCCCUUUUGUUGGGAAAGAAAAGCAGCAGGUUAAUACGCCGCUGUUCUGACGGUACCCAAAGAAUAAGCACCGGCUAACUUCGUG